UUUUUUUUUAUGCAUUUUAUAUUUGCCUAAUAAAUAAUUUUAACUGCUCCUUGGAGUCCCGUGGUGUUCGGGAAAGCCAUCAAGGAAAAAGUUAAAGCUAACAUACUUACUAAGACUUCUAUAUCUAGUCGAGUAUACCGGUUGACUUACCGAUCAAGAUAUUGUUCCCCCUAUGCCUUCAUGUACAUGCUGCACUAUGAAUUGUUUUUGUAUAUUUUUGUAGAGUAAACUCCAACAUUAUGAACAAUUGUUUAUUUUUUUUUGUUUUAUACACCUGAUUUGAUAAUAGCUUCAAAUGUUAACAUAUAAUCAAUUUUUUUUCUAUUUCAGAAUGUUGUAUGAGAAGCCCCAAGCUCUCACUCCUCCGUGAGUUUUAUGUAUUCAAAUUGUACUUUGAUUUUCUAUAUUUUUUCUAACAGUAGUGAUAGUAAGAAUCCUAGAUACUGUGACAUUUAUUAACUAAACUAUUAAUUAUAUGCCAAUCCAAAUUAGGAAAAAAAUAGUGAGUCAUAUUUCUUGAUCAACAGGUAUAGCUUAAGAUAUGAAAUCCACUGAUCACUUCUCAAUUUAUUGGAAAUUCAAAAUAGUUCAAAAUAUUUUUCAAAUUAAAGGCCAAAGUAGCUAAAACUUGAAGUAUAGCGGACUCGGAGAAUGUUUCCAGUUUACUAUGUUGCCUUAAUUGUGAAAUUAAUUUUGAAUUCCUGACAAUUCUCAGCAAAUAACUCUGUUAGUGAAUAAACCUGGCUAUGUAUUAUGUGACUCCAGAUACAAUAUAACCGAUUCCUUCCACAUUUCCAGACAUUAUUACUAAAUAAGAAAACAGGCAACUGAAGG
Pelobates cultripes (western spadefoot toad) is the source of this 834-nucleotide non-coding RNA. NCBI's taxonomy places the organism in Eukaryota, Metazoa, Chordata, Amphibia, Anura, Pelobatidae. The record is from the annotation of a GenBank genome assembly.